UACGAGUGCCUCAAGCGUUAUCCGGAAUCAUUGGGCGUAAAGGGUGUGUAGGUGGUUUUGUUAGUCUCGCGUUAAAUUCUUCGGCUCAACCGGGGGCAUGCGCGGGAAACGGCAGGACUUGAGGAUGCAAGAGGUCUGUGGAACUCAUAGUGUAGCGGUGAAAUGCGUUGAUAUUAUGGGGAACACCAAAUGCGAAGGCAACAGACUGGGGCACUCCUGACACUGAAACACGAAAGCGUGGGUAGCGAAUGGG
Molecule: unclassified non-coding RNA, 253 nt
Filed under: uncultured Parcubacteria group bacterium
Lineage: Bacteria
Description: contains 16S-23S intergenic spacer region
Rfam family: Bacterial small subunit ribosomal RNA
Source: RNAcentral